This 253-nucleotide ribosomal RNA is filed under the name uncultured bacterium. RNAcentral's name for it is "partial 16S ribosomal RNA". It matches the Rfam family "Bacterial small subunit ribosomal RNA", at positions 524 to 776 of the family's 1533-position model. The record is from RNAcentral.
UACGGAGGGUGCAAGCGUUAUCCGGAUUCACUGGGUUUAAAGGGUGCGUAGGUGGGAAUGUAAGUCAGUGGUGAAAUCUCCGUGCUUAACUCGGAACGGUCAAGUGAUACUGUCGGACUAGAGUACAGAAGGGGCAACUGGAAUUCUCGGUGUAGCGGUGAAAUGCGUAGAUAUCGAGAGGAACACCUGCGGCGAAGGCGGGUUGCUGGGCUGAUACUGACGCUGAGGCGCGAAAGCCAGGGGAGCGAACGGG